This 253-nucleotide ribosomal RNA is filed under the name uncultured bacterium. RNAcentral describes it as "partial 16S ribosomal RNA". It matches the Rfam family "Bacterial small subunit ribosomal RNA", at positions 524 to 776 of the family's 1533-position model. The record is from RNAcentral.
UACGAAGGUUGCGAGCGUUAUUCGAAAUUACUGGGCGUAAAGGGUGCGUAGACGGUAUGUUAAGUUUGUUGUUAAAGUCUCUGGCCUAACUGGAGGGUUGCAAUGAAAACUGGCGUACUAGAGGGUGAGAGAGAGAAGUGGAAUUCCCGGAGUAGCGGUGAAAUGCGUGGAUAUCGGGAGGAACACCAAUGGCGAAGGCAGCGUCUUGGAUCAUUUCUGACGUUGAGGCACGAAAGCGUGGGGAGCAAACAGG